This 29-nucleotide non-coding RNA is filed under the name Mus musculus (house mouse). The record is from RNAcentral. Lineage: Eukaryota; Metazoa; Chordata; Mammalia; Rodentia; Muridae.
UACAUAAGUGCGAUUGAGUUAACCAAUAU